Molecule: unclassified non-coding RNA, 213 nt
Filed under: Hevea brasiliensis (rubber tree)
Lineage: Eukaryota; Viridiplantae; Streptophyta; Magnoliopsida; Malpighiales; Euphorbiaceae
Source: RNAcentral
GAGGACUUCAGAUUUACUCUUUUGAUUUCUGACCGUUGCUUAAUGGGAUCCGUGCGAUCGGAGUCCCGAAAUCUGAGCAUCUAGAUGAUGAUGUCUGCGCGUAUACUGACCAUCUCAGUUUUGGAUUGACCAGAGGGCGACAGUAUGUAUGUUUUACUGUUAAGGAGGAUAGUAUGUUAAGUUGAGAUUGCAAUUUUCCUUGGAAUAUUGGUG